RNAcentral lists this long non-coding RNA (1056 nucleotides) under Papio anubis (olive baboon). RNAcentral's name for it is "lncRNA (ENSPANG00000048504.1)". Lineage: Eukaryota; Metazoa; Chordata; Mammalia; Primates; Cercopithecidae. The record is from RNAcentral.
AUGGCGCCUGAUAAUUCGUGGGACAGGGGAGGAGGGUCACCACGUGAAAUAUGGGAAGCGGGUGAUGCUGAGAUCUGGGGGAGGGGGACAGGAGGUGAGGAAAGAGGGGUCACAGGGGAGGAGGCAAAUGGAGGAAGGGACCACGAUGGGGCAGGGAGGAGGAGAAGCAGGAGGUCUAGGGAGGGUGAUGCUCGGCUCCGAGGCGGCUGCACUCAGCACGUACGAGCGCUGGCCUCGGCCGGGCCAGGAUGCGGGCGCCCGGGUCCCGGAGCAUCCUCGGCGGGGGCGGCGGCGGCGCCGGCGCCGGGAAGGGAGGGCCGCGGGCCUGCAGCUGCCCGGCUCCCGCCUCCAACCCCCGUCCCGGGGUCGGCUCGGCCGCGCCGCCCUCCCGCCCCAGCAGCCCCAGCAGACGAAGCUUACCUGCGCCCGGGCGCGCGGGCGGCUGUCGGGACCCAGGAGACGCCGCCGCCCGAGGGCGCGGACCUGCGGACGCCCCCUGCCCGGUGCCGCGGAGCCGCCGCCCGGCCGCUGCCCAGCCCACGCCGCUGGAGUCCGAGCCGGAGCACCAGCCGGAGCCCAAGCCGCGCCGGUGCCCCCGCCGGUGCAGACGCGGCGCUGCGCUCCGCGGGGCCGCGAAGACCACAACUCCCACAAUGCCUCGCGCGCUGGGCCGGCGGGGGAGGGGGCGCCGGAGGGGCGGGGCCAGCGGGGCGGGGCCGGGGACCCCCCUGCACCCGGCACCUGCGCUCGCCCUGCGGGAGACGACCCGAGGCCGGGCCCGCCGCGGCUCCGGAGGGUCCUGGCACUGCGCCCCGAGACGCAGCGCCCGCCCAGCCCGAGGGUGCGCGCAGGCGGCGACAAGUGUGCAGUCAUUCAUUAAGAAAGGCUCGCGUCGCUUCCUCCGCUCUUUCGUUUUUCGCUCUUUCUCUGUUCUCCCUCCCUCUGUCUUUCUGUUCCUCUCUGAGUCGCCCUCGUCUCCAUUUCCUCCUUUUCAUUCUCUUUCACUUCCCCGCGACCUCACUUCCUCUCGCCCUAAGGCCUUCUUUCCUUUAUUGA